GCCCAUUCCUUAAUCCUUAUCAUCAAAUCCAACAUUAUUUCAUUAUCAUCAUCUGUACUCAUGAUCCAUUCCAAACAUACAGUAUUAUUAUCAAUCAAAGAUAGAGACUUAGUUAAAAUUCCCACAAUAUACUGCCCCUGUUCCACGGUGCUCUCUCUACUCUUUGUGUACCCUGUCAACUCUCUCUCUCUCUCAACUUCAUCUGUCUCUGCACUUCACAUUUGCAACAGAGAGUGAAUCUCAUCCCCAACUAUCAAAUCCCAAAUCCCUCUUCUUCUUCUUCUUCUUCUUCUUCUUCUUCUUCUUCUUCUCCCUUCUUAAUUUACGGCGAAUACCCAGAACGGUUUGUUCUCUCAUCAAUCAGCCGUCCGACUAUAUCUCACCGUCGUUCCCUAUCGUUGACCACACUCCUCAGCUCGGCCUGACAAUCAGCAGCUAACAAAACUGCGCCGCCGCCGACCAGCACUCUCAACACAGACAACAACACAAGAAAUUGAGCCACAACUCAGCCAAGACUGGUCGUUCCCAAUCGUCGACCCACCCUGCACACCUAAGCUGCUGACGAUGCAGCAGCUUAGUUCUAUAGUUCUAUUGUGUUGUGCUGUGCUCUGUUUUGUGAAAAAAUUCUAGGGUUCAUCAGAAAAUUUAACGAUAAAAUACAGGUUUACGAAAUCAAAGCUCACCUCCUUGUUUUGUUGGUGCAAUGGAUUUCUUUGGUGUGAUUUUUGGUUGAAUUUUGAUCAGACUUUG
This 750-nucleotide long non-coding RNA is filed under the name Salvia miltiorrhiza (redroot sage). Its description in RNAcentral is "long non-coding RNA (SMIL_LNC000891)". Lineage: Eukaryota; Viridiplantae; Streptophyta; Magnoliopsida; Lamiales; Lamiaceae. The record is from RNAcentral.